GAGUUUGAUCGUGGCUCAGAACGAACGCUGGCGGCAGGCUUAACACAUGCAAGUCGAACGCCCCGCAAGGGGAGUGGCAGACGGGUGAGUAACACGUGGGAACGUGCCCUAAGGUUUGGAAUAUUCCCGGGAAACUGGGAGCAAUACCAAAUGUGUCCGUAAGGAGAAAGAUUUAUCGCCUUAGGAUCGGCCCGCGUCAGAUUAGCUAGUUGGUGGGGUAAAAGCCUACCAAGGCGACGAUCUGUAGCUGGUCUGAGAGGACGACCAGCCACACUGGGACUGAGACACGGCCCAGACUCCUACGGGAGGCAGCAGUGGGGAAUCUUGGACAAUGGGCGAAAGCCUGAUCCAGCCAUGCCGCGUGGAUGAUGAAGGCCCUAGGGUUGUAAAAUCCUUUCGUUGGGGACGAUAAUGACGGCACCCAAAGAAGAAGCUCCGGCUAACUUCGUGCCAGCCGCCGCUGUAAU
RNAcentral lists this ribosomal RNA (467 nucleotides) under uncultured Alphaproteobacteria bacterium. Its description in RNAcentral is "bacterial SSU rRNA". It matches the Rfam family "Bacterial small subunit ribosomal RNA", at positions 9 to 524 of the family's 1533-position model. The record is from RNAcentral. Lineage: Bacteria; Pseudomonadati; Pseudomonadota; Alphaproteobacteria.